UACGGAGGGUGCAAGCGUUGUUCGGAUUUAUUGGGUGUAAAGGGCGUGUAGGCGGUUCGUUAAGUCUGAUGUGAAAGCCCCGGGCUCAACCCGGGAAGUGCAUUGGAAACUGGCGAACUUGAGUACGGGAGAGGGCAGUGGAAUUCCUAGUGUAGGAGUGAAAUCCGUAGAUAUUAGGAGGAACACCGGUGGCGAAGGCGGCUGCCUGGACCGAUACUGACGCUGAGACGCGAAAGCGUGGGGAGCAAACAGG
RNAcentral lists this ribosomal RNA (253 nucleotides) under uncultured bacterium. RNAcentral describes it as "partial 16S ribosomal RNA". It matches the Rfam family "Bacterial small subunit ribosomal RNA", at positions 524 to 776 of the family's 1533-position model. The record is from RNAcentral.